Molecule: transfer RNA, 77 nt
Filed under: Pseudolabrys sp.
Lineage: Bacteria; Pseudomonadati; Pseudomonadota; Alphaproteobacteria; Hyphomicrobiales; Xanthobacteraceae
Description: tRNA-Met
Rfam family: tRNA
About the family: Transfer RNA (tRNA) molecules are approximately 80 nucleotides in length. Their secondary structure includes four short double-helical elements and three loops (D, anti-codon, and T loops). Further hydrogen bonds mediate the characteristic L-shaped molecular structure. tRNAs have two regions of fundamental functional importance: the anti-codon, which is responsible for specific mRNA codon recognition, and the 3' end, to which the tRNAs corresponding amino acid is attached (by aminoacyl-tRNA synthetases). tRNAs cope with the degeneracy of the genetic code in two manners: having more than one tRNA (with a specific anti-codon) for a particular amino acid; and 'wobble' base-pairing, i.e. permitting non-standard base-pairing at the 3rd anti-codon position.
Source: RNAcentral
GGCGGGGUAGCUCAGCUGGUUAGAGCGGCGGAAUCAUAAUCCGUAGGUCGGUGGUUCGAGUCCACUCCUCGCUACCA